AUUUUACAGGAUUUCAAAUUAUUGGUGGGGAGAAGAUGGGAAGACUGGACCUAGGCAUAUUUAUCAGUUCAGUUGCCCCUGGAGGACCAGCUGACUUGGAUGGAUGCUUGAAGCCAGGAGACCGUUUGAUAUCUGUGAAUAGUGUGAGUCUGGAGGGAGUCAGCCACCAUGCUGCAAUUGAAAUUUUGCAAAAUGCACCUGAAGAUGUGACACUUGUUAUCUCUCAGCCAAAAGAAAAGAUAUCCAAAGUGCCUUCUACUCCUGUGCAUCUCACCAAUGAGAUGAAAAACUACAUGAAGAAAUCUUCCUACAUGCAAGACAGUGCUAUAGAUUCUUCUUCCAAGGAUCACCACUGGUCACGUGGUACCCUGAGGCACAUCUCGGAGAACUCCUUUGGGCUGUCUGGGGGCCUGCGGGAAGGAAGCCUGAGUUCUCAAGAUUCCAGGACUGAGAGUGC
This 457-nucleotide small RNA is filed under the name Pan troglodytes (chimpanzee). RNAcentral's name for it is "retained intron". Lineage: Eukaryota; Metazoa; Chordata; Mammalia; Primates; Hominidae. The record is from RNAcentral.